RNAcentral lists this ribosomal RNA (909 nucleotides) under uncultured bacterium. RNAcentral describes it as "bacterial SSU rRNA". It matches the Rfam family "Bacterial small subunit ribosomal RNA", at positions 8 to 915 of the family's 1533-position model. The record is from RNAcentral.
AGAGUUUGAUCAUGGCUCAGGACGAACGCUGGCGGCGUGCCUAAUACAUGCAAGUCGAGCGGACCUCUUCGGAGGUCAGCGGCGGACGGGUGAGUAACACGUGGGCAACCUGCCUGUAAGACUGGGAUAACUCCGGGAAACCGGAGCUAAUACCGGAUAGUAUCUUGAACCGCAUGGUUCAAGUUGGAAAGACGGUUUCGGCUGUCACUUACAGAUGGGCCCGCGGCGCAUUAGCUAGUUGGUGAGGUAAUGGCUCACCAAGGCAACGAUGCGUAGCCGACCUGAGAGGGUGAUCGGCCACACUGGGACUGAGACACGGCCCAGACUCCUACGGGAGGCAGCAGUAGGGAAUCUUCCGUAAUGGACGAAAGUCUGACGGAGCAACGCCGCGUGAGUGAUGAAGGUUUUCGGAUCGUAAAACUCUGUUGUUAGGGAAGAACAAGUGCGAGAGUAACUGCUCGCACCUUGACGGUACCUAACCAGAAAGCCACGGCUAACUACGUGCCAGCAGCCGCGGUAAUACGUAGGUGGCAAGCGUUGUCCGGAAUUAUUGGGCGUAAAGCGCGCGCAGGCGGUUUCUUAAGUCUGAUGUGAAAGCCCCCGGCUCAACCGGGGAGGGUCAUUGGAAACUGGGAAACUUGAGUGCAGAAGAGGAGAGUGGAAUUCCACGUGUAGCGGUGAAAUGCGUAGAGAUGUGGAGGAACACCAGUGGCGAAGGCGACUCUCUGGUCUGUAACUGACGCUGAGGCGCGAAAGCGUGGGGAGCGAACAGGAUUAGAUACCCUGGUAGUCCACGCCGUAAACGAUGAGUGCUAAGUGUUAGAGGGUUUCCGCCCUUUAGUGCUGCAGCUAACGCAUUAGCACCUCCGCCUGGGGAGUACGGUCGCAAGACUGAAACUCAAGAUGACG